Molecule: transfer RNA, 73 nt
Filed under: Ailuropoda melanoleuca (giant panda)
Lineage: Eukaryota; Metazoa; Chordata; Mammalia; Carnivora; Ursidae
Rfam family: tRNA
About the family: Transfer RNA (tRNA) molecules are approximately 80 nucleotides in length. Their secondary structure includes four short double-helical elements and three loops (D, anti-codon, and T loops). Further hydrogen bonds mediate the characteristic L-shaped molecular structure. tRNAs have two regions of fundamental functional importance: the anti-codon, which is responsible for specific mRNA codon recognition, and the 3' end, to which the tRNAs corresponding amino acid is attached (by aminoacyl-tRNA synthetases). tRNAs cope with the degeneracy of the genetic code in two manners: having more than one tRNA (with a specific anti-codon) for a particular amino acid; and 'wobble' base-pairing, i.e. permitting non-standard base-pairing at the 3rd anti-codon position.
Source: Rfam by way of RNAcentral
UCCUGGCUGGCUCAGUCAGUAGAGCAUGUGACUCUUGAUCUCAGGAUUGUGGGUUUCAGCCCCAUGUUGGGUG